UGGAGUUACCGUGGACGCUCCUGCAUUCAGCCACCUGAUCGCAUCCUGUGUCCUUCCUAUCUGUCAUGGGAUGUUUGCUACAAUGGUUUUAUGGAGUGUUUACUUUCAAAGUUUCUCCUCUUCCCCCGCCCUGGAAGUUGCAACUUUUCAUUAGGCUGGCCUUUCUCAACUUUAGUCAUAAAGUGUAGUCCAGCAAGUCACAAUAAUUGCUGGAGGUGGAAGUGAGCACCUGUUAUUUUGAGACGCUCCCCAGGUGAUUCCACUGUGCAGCCAGAGUUGGAAACCACUGAGCUAAAAAGACAGUCAGCUUUGCUAUCUUUCUGCAGACUUGGCUCCUUCCUGCUGCCCACUCCAUGCUUGAGAUAGAUGCCCCUUCAUCUCCUCUUUCCUUAGGAUGAUGGAGCUCACUCAGGAAUGAACUCUCACUGGGCUCACUGGACUGCAAGGUCAGCGUGAAAUAUAGAGUAGAUGAGUGACAUUGGGCUUGAGUGGUGCAGUCCCUCUGUCUGACUCACAAUAUGGUCACUCUUCGGUUGCUAUUAAUAGUGUGCACUGAUGAGAAUGCGUACGCAAACAUGCUACUUGCAUGAAUGGUGUCAUGAGAAACGGAUUCAUCAGGAUUAUGAGAAAUGGAUUAUUCAGGAUUCUUUGGGUUAUAAAGGCUACAGACACAACCCAACUUAAACUUGGCUCACAUAACUUUAAAAGUCUAGAAAAGUGUUUCCCAAACACUGUUGUACAUGCGGAUCACAUGAACAUUUUGAGUAGAUGCCCAUCCUCGCUUAGGAGGUCUGGGUUGGGUACUUAUUUUUCAAAGCUCCUAAGCUAUGCUAGUGUGGCUGGUCUGCAGAACACACUUGAAGUGCAAAUGAUGUGGUCUGGAUGUUGGCUUCUUUUCCUUUCUCAGCUCUCCUUCCUCUUUGUUAGUCACAAGGUGGCCCCGGCAAUGCCAUAUUGGCUUCUUCACAGCCUCAUGUCCAGCAAGAAAUGAGUGGAAACCUCAUUGCCAAUCGCUCCAGCAAAUCCUCUGGGACAGAGACUGAUUGGAACUGAUUGGCUUGGGUCAUGAGCCUAACCUGAAGCCAACCACUGAAAUGAAAAUAAUGUGUUGCUCUUAUUGGCUGGUCCUGAGAAAUGUAUCACCCUGGGGCAGGUGUGGAAUCAGGUGAGGGAAGUGUAGCAGCAGGUGAGACACAUGUGAAAUCAAGUGGGGUAGGUGUGGCCUCAGGUGGAGAAGGUGUGGAAUCAGGUGGGGCAGGUAUGGAAUCUGGUGGGGCAGGUGUGGCCUCAGGUGGGGCAGGUGUGAAAUCAGGUGGGGCAGGUGUAGCCUCAGGUGGGGCAGGUGUGGAUUGAGACUAAGAGCCUAUGCAUCAUGGAAAAAUCUGGCUUUCACUGAAAGUCAGGGAACAGAUGCCGGUCAGACAAAACAGCAGAUGUCCACCCCAGAAGGUAUCAUCUACCACAAAGAUCUGUAAACACUGUGAGGCUAGAGAAUAAUUCCUUUUGACUUUUUAUGCCCUAGAACAGGGGUC
Molecule: long non-coding RNA, 1532 nt
Organism: Sapajus apella (tufted capuchin)
Lineage: Eukaryota; Metazoa; Chordata; Mammalia; Primates; Cebidae
Exons: 2
Source: RefSeq, a predicted model, not a curated record